RNAcentral lists this ribosomal RNA (253 nucleotides) under uncultured bacterium. Its description in RNAcentral is "partial 16S ribosomal RNA". It matches the Rfam family "Bacterial small subunit ribosomal RNA", at positions 524 to 776 of the family's 1533-position model. The record is from RNAcentral.
UACGGAGGGUGCAAGCGUUGUCCGGAAUCAUUGGGCGUAAAGAGUUCGUAGGCGGUUUGUUAAGUCUGGUGUUAAAGCCCGAAGCUCAACUUCGGUUCGGCACUGGAUACUGGCAGACUAGAAUGUGGUAGAGGUAAAGGGAAUUCCUGGUGUAGCGGUGAAAUGCGUAGAUAUCAGGAGGAACAUCAGUGGCGUAAGCGCUUUACUGGGCCAUAAUUGACGCUGAGGAACGAAAGCCGGGGUAGCGAAUGGG